CCUGGUGGCUCAGAUGGUAAAGCAUCUGCCUAUCAUGCAGGAGACCCGGGUUCAAUCCCUGGGUCAGGA
This 69-nucleotide transfer RNA is filed under the name Bos taurus (domestic cattle). It matches the Rfam family "tRNA". Rfam says of the family: Transfer RNA (tRNA) molecules are approximately 80 nucleotides in length. Their secondary structure includes four short double-helical elements and three loops (D, anti-codon, and T loops). RNAcentral also lists the same sequence under 3 other names. The record is from Rfam by way of RNAcentral. Lineage: Eukaryota; Metazoa; Chordata; Mammalia; Artiodactyla; Bovidae.